UGUGUGAUAGUCAUUUUGAGGCAAAAUACAUUUCUGCUUGGACUCGCAAGUUAUUUGGAAACGCUGUUCCAACUCUAAAUCUUCCUGGUUCAACAGGCCCAAAUGAUGUAUAUGGUACUCCAUCAACAUCUAAGUCUUCAAAUAGUACUGCUCAAGAAAGUACUCAAUUUAAUGAGUUAGUCAUUGAGAUUCCAGAAUUGAACGAAUCUUCUCACAGUAUUGAAGGUAAUGAAUAUAAACAUAUAGACAUAUGUUGAAAUGUAUGUUCUCAAUGAAUUAUCAUUCACACCAAAACUUGUUAAUUUCGUUUAGAGUUUAUGGUGGAUCUUUCACUAGAAGAUUGUGUUACCCAACGUUAUCAUUUCUCACUUCUUUUUGUGAUAUUGUCAAAGUGAUAAAAUAUUGUUUAGAUAAACAACCAUACUCCAAACAUUCAAUUCAUAUAAUUGAAAAUACAGUAAGAGGCAAGGCUAGCUUUGAAUUCUUAUCUUGCAACAAAGAGGAACAUAAAAAUAAUAUAAUUCACCACGACAACACAUAAUUGGUGCAAGCGUGUAAAUCAAAUUAUACAGGGAAAAUCGAAACCGUAUACAUGUAAAAAUGUAAUUAAAUUACAAGCCAAUAAAAUUCGUUUGAACAGAAUAAAGAAAAAGAUUUCUAAGCAACCUGAACAUAUAAUCACACAAAAUGUUUAAUGUUGAAAUGUUCUGAAUAAAAAAUCUAUAAUAAUUCA
This is a long non-coding RNA of Leptinotarsa decemlineata (Colorado potato beetle), 733 nucleotides long. Lineage: Eukaryota; Metazoa; Arthropoda; Insecta; Coleoptera; Chrysomelidae. The record is from RefSeq and is a predicted model, not a curated record.